RNAcentral lists this ribosomal RNA (515 nucleotides) under uncultured bacterium. RNAcentral's name for it is "partial 16S ribosomal RNA". It matches the Rfam family "Bacterial small subunit ribosomal RNA", at positions 28 to 523 of the family's 1533-position model. The record is from RNAcentral.
GAUGAACGCUGGCGGCGUGCCUAAUACAUGCAAGUCGAGCGAAUGGAUUGAGAGCUUGCUCUUAUGAAGUUAGCGGCGGACGGGUGAGUAACACGUGGGUAACCUGCCCAUAAGACUGGGAUAACUCCGGGAAACCGGGUCUAAUACUGGAUAACAUUUUGAACCGCAUGGUUCGAAAUUGAAAGGCGGCUUCGGCUGUAACUUAUGGAUGGACCCGCGGCGCAUUAGAUAGUUGGUGAGGUAACGGCUCACCAAGGCAACGAUGCGUAGCCGACCUGAGAGGGUGAUCGGCCACACUGGGACUGAGACACGGCCCAGACUCCUACGGGAGGCAGCAGUAGGGAAUCUUCCGCAAUGGACGAAAGUCUGACGGAGCAACGCCGCGUGAGUGAUGAAGGCUUUCGGGUCGUAAAACUCUGUUGUCAGGGAAGAACAAGUGCUAGUUGAAUAAGCUGGCGCCUUGACGGUACCUAACCAGAAAGCCACGGCUAACUACGUGCCAGCCGCCGCCGUAA